ACGGGUCUACCUUUAACUUUCAUCACAGCCCACCAAUCAUUUUUGUCACGACGCUUGCUCGGGUAUGAAGCAUAAACGACUUGUGUUGCUUGAGAGGCUAAUACAAAUGGCUCGUACUUACUGUAUCUACGCUUGUUGUUGACAUCGACCAUUCUAUACUGUCUAUGCACCUUGGUGUCGGUAUUUGGUGUUGGAUCAAACCAGUCACAUUUGAAAAGCACAGUCCGCUUAAUUGGUAACCCUGGAUACUCCAACCGCAACACCUCAACCAACAGUCCAUAGUAGUCACUUUCU
RNAcentral lists this long non-coding RNA (294 nucleotides) under Manihot esculenta (cassava). Its description in RNAcentral is "long non-coding RNA (MESC_LNC000413)". The record is from RNAcentral. Lineage: Eukaryota; Viridiplantae; Streptophyta; Magnoliopsida; Malpighiales; Euphorbiaceae.